AUGAAUAAUGAAAAUAUCGCUCGUCUUAUUCGACUCCCCGAUGAUGUUUUUUACAACAUAAUAAAAUAUUUGACAGUGAACGAAACACUGAAAUUAAAAUUAGUAAGCAAAGGUUUUUUUUAUUAUUUAAAGGGUGAUAAAGCUUAUAGCUUGAAUAGUUGUAUAAGUCUGAAUAACUAUAUACACAUUGUAAAUUUUGUGGACCCGCAAAAUUUAAGAAAGUUUUUUCUUUCCAUUUUAAAUAAUGAGAACAAUAUUUACAUUAACCCAAAUUAUGUUAAAAACAACAUUUAUUUGGGCAUAAACCAAAAACAGCUAUUUUCAAAAGAAAACCCAUUUUUAAAAAAAAUAAUUUUAAAAGGUGAAUUUUUGCGAAAUACAAAUUUACAUAAUAUCGGUCUACUUCUAAAUGCACAUGCAAAUACAUUAGAAGAGUUAUACAUUCAAGGAUUAAAUGAUAUAAAUUGCUCUUUAUUCAUUUACUCUAGUUGUAGUAUAUUGUUUGAUUUUUUAUCUAAAGAAAUUUUAUUUAAUAAUUUAUCAGUUAACUCUAUAAAAAAAAAUGAGUUAAAACAAGUUCAAGAUAUUAUAUUACAAUGGAGAGAGAAAGAAUUAAAAAAAGAAAAUGACAGUAGUGAUAGUAACUGUAGUAACAAAACAGAAACAUAUGCUCUGUUGAAUGAUGAUAACAACUAUGAUAUUAACCAGGAUAUAACAAAAAGAUCUGAAAAAUAUAUACCAACAAGGAUAGAAAAACCUCAAAUGUGUAAAAAAUAUAUGAACAACAAGCUAGAAUAUAAUAUAAAAAAUAUAGUAAAUAAUAUAGUAAAUAAUAAUAAUAAUAAUAAACAUAAAGUGUCUUUUUUAUGUGAACAUAUUAACGUUGUAUAUAAUUGUAAUAAAAAAUGUUUUGAAAAAAUACAAAAUUAUAAACAAAAAAUAAACCUGAACAAUUAUAUUAACAGUUUACAUUCACUUAAAAUACUUAAUUUGUCAGGUAUACAGAGUUAUGAUAUGAUUGAAAUGUUUAUAGAAAUAAAUUUACCAAAUUUAAAAACAUUGAAUAUAUUAUGUUAUGAUUACUUUUUUUAUUUUUAUCAUAUGCUUAUAUCUACUUGUUUUUAUGGAAAUGGAAAAGAAGUAUUUACACGAUAUAUAAAUUAUAAAAAAAUGAAAACACGGAGAAUUAUUAUAACAGUUUUUAUCAUAGUAACAACAAUAACAGUAGUGAAUGUCAUACUAAUAAAAAAAAAGAAGUUUACGAAUGUAACCGACAAAUAUAUAACAUGAUAAAAGAAUUUGACGUACAGUUAAACGAAAUAAACAAUUAUAACAACAGCA
This 1341-nucleotide long non-coding RNA is filed under the name Piliocolobus tephrosceles (Ugandan red Colobus). RNAcentral's name for it is "lncRNA (ENSPTEG00000001987.1)". Lineage: Eukaryota; Metazoa; Chordata; Mammalia; Primates; Cercopithecidae. The record is from RNAcentral.